GAUCAAGCUACAAAGGGCUUACGGGGGAUGCCUAGGUACAUGGCGCCGAAGAAGGACGUGAUAAGCUGCGAAAAGCUACGGAGAGGAGCAAAUAUCCUGCGACCCGUAGAUAUCCGAAUGAGGGAACUCAGCGCGAGUAACGUCGCGUUAUUAUAUACUGAAUAGAUAGGUAUAUAAGGGGAACCCGGGGAACUGAAACAUCUAAGUACCCUGAUGAAAAGAAAAAAAAAGUGAUUCAGAAAGUAGUGGCGAGCGAAAUCGGAGGAGCCCAAACCAUGUAUGUAAUGGACAUGGGGUACGGACCGCAGAAGU
RNAcentral lists this ribosomal RNA (312 nucleotides) under Clostridia bacterium. Its description in RNAcentral is "partial 23S ribosomal RNA". It matches the Rfam family "Bacterial large subunit ribosomal RNA", at positions 1 to 315 of the family's 2925-position model. The record is from RNAcentral. Lineage: Bacteria; Bacillati; Bacillota; Clostridia.